AUAUUUACCUGUAAUGGGAGAUACCAUGAAAACAAAGGUGGUAUUCCCAGGGAAAGGCUGAUUCAUUGCACUCCAGAUGUGCUCACUUGUACAAUUUCCCCCAAAUGUAGGAAAUUUAACUGCAUAAUUUGUGGUAGUGGGGGAAUGCAUUUGGGCUCUCCCCUG
Suncus etruscus (white-toothed pygmy shrew) is the source of this 165-nucleotide small nuclear RNA. RefSeq annotates it as U1 spliceosomal RNA. The record is from RefSeq and is a predicted model, not a curated record. NCBI's taxonomy places the organism in Eukaryota, Metazoa, Chordata, Mammalia, Eulipotyphla, Soricidae. The transcript has a single exon.